CCUACGGGUGGCAGCAGUGGGGAAUAUUGGACAAUGGGCGAAAGCCUGAUCCAGCCAUGCCGCGUGUGUGAAGAAGGCCUUCGGGUUGUAAAGCACUUUCAGUGGGGAAGAAAGCCUUGGGGCUAAUACCCUCGAGGAAGGACAUCACCCACAGAAGAAGCACCGGCUAACUCCGUGCCAGCAGCCGCGGUAAUACGGAGGGUGCGAGCGUUAAUCGGAAUUACUGGGCGUAAAGCGCGCGUAGGCGGUCUGAUAAGCCGGUUGUGAAAGCCCCGGGCUCAACCUGGGAACGGCAUCCGGAACUGUCAGGCUAGAGUGCAGGAGAGGAAGGUAGAAUUCCCGGUGUAGCGGUGAAAUGCGUAGAGAUCGGGAGGAAUACCAGUGGCGAAGGCGGCCUUCUGGACUGACACUGACGCUGAGGUGCGAAAGCGUGGUAGCAAACAGGAUUAGAUACCCCUGUAGUC
This 464-nucleotide ribosomal RNA is filed under the name Vreelandella stevensii. RNAcentral's name for it is "partial 16S ribosomal RNA". It matches the Rfam family "Bacterial small subunit ribosomal RNA", at positions 338 to 795 of the family's 1533-position model. The record is from RNAcentral. Lineage: Bacteria; Pseudomonadati; Pseudomonadota; Gammaproteobacteria; Oceanospirillales; Halomonadaceae.